This 500-nucleotide ribosomal RNA is filed under the name uncultured bacterium. RNAcentral describes it as "partial 16S ribosomal RNA". It matches the Rfam family "Bacterial small subunit ribosomal RNA", at positions 32 to 507 of the family's 1533-position model. The record is from RNAcentral.
AAUCAACGCUGGCGGCGUGCCUAACACAUGCAAGUCGAACGCGAAAGCCCCGCAAGGGGUAAGUAGAGUGGCAAACGGGUGAGUAACACGUGGGUGACCUGCCUUCGAGUGGGGGAUAACGUCCCGAAAGGGACGCUAAUACCGCAUGACAUCCUGCUUUUGAAAAAGCGGAGAUCAAAGCUGGGGAUCGCAAGACCUAGCGCUUGAGGAGGGGCCCGCGCCUGAUUAGCUAGUUGGUGAGGUAACGGCUCACCAAGGCGACGAUCAGUAUCCGGCCUGAGAGGGCGGACGGACACACUGGGACUGAGACACGGCCCAGACUCCUACGGGAGGCAGCAGUGGGGAAUUGUUCGCAAUGGGCGCAAGCCUGACGACGCAACGCCGCGUGGAGGACGAAGAUCUUCGGGUCGUAAACUCCUGUCGAGCGGGACGAACGCUUCGCGGAUGAAUAAUCCGCGGAAUUGACGGUACCGCUAAAGGAAGCCCCGGCUAACUCCGUG